AAUAAGAGUGGUACCACGGAUAGUUUCGUCUCU
This 33-nucleotide small RNA is filed under the name Romboutsia lituseburensis. Its description in RNAcentral is "T-box". The record is from RNAcentral. Lineage: Bacteria; Bacillati; Bacillota; Clostridia; Peptostreptococcales; Peptostreptococcaceae.